AGUAUUUAGAGUCAGGAAGGGAACCAGGGAGGCAGGACAGGAGAAUGACAGGAAGAAGGGUUGUAAAUAAGAACAAAACAUUAUAAUAUAUGCAUAUCUAUAAAAUGUCACAAUGAAGCCCAUUUCUUUGUAUGCCAAUCAAAAAAAUGAAAAAGUAGAGUAAAAAUCAAAGUAGAUUAGAAAAAUAAAAAAGAGUACAAAAGUAUGCAUAUAAAGAAAGAUUUUUCCAAAAUUGUAAAAGAAUACAUUUUUUUCAUAAGAUUCACCUCCUAAAAUAGGUUUUUUCUCUGUUCAACUUUAUUUUAGUUUUGAGCAUAUUUUUCCAACAUGUCUCCCACCCUCUUCUCUGUACCCUGGUUUCUCCCCUUUGUCCCCUAUACAGUUUUGCUUCUGCUUUCAGGUCAUAUAUACAUACGUGUUUUAUGUACUAAUAUAAAAUCUAGAAAUCAGUAAUGAGAUAAAAUGUGAUAUUUGUCUAAGGUAGACUUAAUGUCGUAGCCCUGCCUGCAUCCAUUUUUCUGCAGAUAGCAUCUUUGUUCUUUAUGACUGAAAAAAAAAAUUCCAUUGUGUAGGCAGGGAAAUUAGCUCCUUUGAUAGAAUACUUACCAAAGCCUUGGGUUCAAAUCCUACUAUCUCAUGAACUAGAUGUGGCAAUGAAUAUUUGUAAUUCCAGCACUGGUGAGAUGGAAGUGAUGGGAUCGGAAGUUCAAGGUGAUCUUCAGCUCUAAAGCAAGUUCAAAAGUAGUCAGGCUACAUAAAACUUGUCUUUAAAAGACUCCCGUUGUGCAUAAGUACCGUACUUUUGAUGAUGAACCCUUAGGUGGUUUUAUUACUUAGCUAUUAUGAAUAGCAUUGUAAUAAACAUUAGUGUGCAAGAAUUUCUUUGAAGUCUUUCAGGUAAAUACCUAGGAGUCAUGUAGGAUGGCGAGUGUCAACGGCCCAAAAGAAACAGGCUCCGGUUGUCCUCAAGGCCCAAACCAGGACCAAAUUGAGGCCCAACAGUUUUAAACUUUAGGUCUCUCAUUAAGGUCUCCUGUCCAUUUAGAGAAGAUUUUUCUACAGGGUAUUUGAUGGAGAUUUGGGUUCAUUUUUCUGCAUGUGGUUAUCCAGUGUUCCUGAUAGCAUAUGUCAGAGAGGCUGCAUUUUCUCCACUGUGAAAUUUUGUCAUAAUUGUUAAAACUCAAACGGUGGUGGUUGUGCAGGUUUGCAUCUGAGUCCUCUUUUACUCCAUUGAUCUGUGUGUCUAUCUUGUGCCAGUUCUAUGCUGAUUUUAUUAGUUAAUACUAUGGCUCUAAAGCAUAGCUUGAAAUCAAGUGACUGAUACCUAUAACGUCAUUCAUAUGUAUGGAGGUGUAUAGUGUGUGUUCAUGUCUGUGUGGGUGUAUUCACAUGAGCAUGCAGCUUCAUGUGUCUGCAUGUGGAGGCCAGAGGUCAACAUGAGAUAUCUUCCUCCAUUUCUUUCUAUCUAAUCUUUUUCAGACAGAGUCUCUCACUAACCCUGCAGCUCAUCAAUUGACUAGGCUUCAGGCUGGCCAGUGAGUUUCAGGAAUCCAGAAUCCACCUGCCUAUCACCCCCUUCCAGGGCUGAAGUUACCUACAUGCCCUGCUGUCCCUAGCUUUAUGUAGGUGCUAGAUACUCACGUCCUCAUACCUGCACACCAGGCACGUCAGUAACUGAGCCAUCGUCUCUGUCCCCAGUGUUCUCUCUGCUCAGGGUUACUUGGCCAUCUGGCAUCUUUUGUGCUUUAAUAUGAAUCUCAAAGGUGUUUUAUCUAUUUCAGUAAAGAAUGGCAUUGGGAUUUUUAUGAGAUUUCAUUGCCUCUAUAGAUUGGUUUUGAUAGAAUGACCGGCCAUUUUUGCAAUAUUACUUCUUCCAAUCAAUGAAUGUGGGAUGCCUUUCUACCUUCUGGUGUCUUUUUAGUAUUUUUUUUCUUCUUCAGUGAGUGAGUUUUCAUUGUAGUCUUUCAUUUCCUAAGGUUUAUUCCAGGGGUUUUUGUUUGUUUUUAAUAUUAAGACAUUUGUGAAUAUGAUUGUUCCCUUGAUUUAGUUCUCAGUUUGUCAUUGGUAUAUAGGGAGGCUUCCAGGUUUGUAUGUUACUUGUGUAGCCUGCCACUUUUCCACUGAGCACUUAUCACUUAGCUGGAAGUGCUAAGAGUCUUCUUUAGGACCUUUGUGGUGGUUAAAAAGAGAAGUGUGCCCCAUAGGCUUAGACAUUUGCACACUUACAUACAGUUGGCGGCGCUACCCUGAGCAGUCUGGGAGGUGUGGUCUUGCUGGAGGAGGUGAGUCACUGGAGGCAGGGGCAGGCCUCCAGAGUUUAGGGCCCUACCCAGCUUCCAGCUCCUUUUCUCUGUGCUUGUGGUAAAACCUGUGAUCUCUCACUUCCUGCUCCUGCUGCAGUGCCUGCCACAUGCUGCCAUGCUUUCCUACCGUAAUGGAUUCCGAUCCCUCUGGAGUCAUAAGCUAAAAUAAGCCCUUCCUCCCAUUAGUCACUUUGAUCACGUUCUUCUAUCACACAACUGAGAAGUAACUGAAGUACAGAAUCCUAUCAUCUGCAAACAAGGACACUUCGUCCUCUUCCUGUCUGUAUCUCCUUUGGCUUUUUAUUUCCUCUUGUCUUAUUGUUCUAGUUAAGAUGCAAAGAGUUUUAGUUUAAUUAUUUUUGAAAGAUUUGUUUUUAUCUGACAUGUGUGAGGGUUGCCUGCAUGUAUGUAUGUGUACCUCCUGCCUGCCUGAUUCCUGUGGAAGCCAAGCAAGAGCUCCGGAUACCCUGUACUGGACUUACAGAUAGGUGUGAGCUUACAUGUAUGUGCUAUCAACUAAACCUACCUUCUCUUCUCUGCAAGAGCAAUGAGCACUGUUAACCACUGACCUCUCUCUCCAGCCUCAGUUCUCCCGAGUUCUUAGCCAGACACUGUAAGCCUGUCCAUACUGCAGGUUAAAACAAACAAACAAACAAACAAAACCAAGACAAGAACAACAACAACAACAACAAACAAAACCCACAUAUUACCAGAACAGGCUAUGCUUGAUGCUUGUAAUUACAUUCAUGUAAUUCCAAUCCUCAGAUAAAAACGGGGAAUUGUGCAUUUCAGGGCAGCACAAGACUGUGCCCUGGAGUAAAAUAAAGUGCUCAGCCAGCCUUUCUUACAGGUGAGCUUUUGAAAGCCACUCAUUUACAAACUUUACUGUUCCAGAUCAUUAUUUAGUUGUAGACCAGUGGAACAGAGAGCCAUGUUGUUGAAUCAUACUUUUGUGCUUCCGUUGUUUAUUUAUUUAUGGGCUUUUUUUUUUUUAAUCCUAAAAGAUUUGUUUCUGUCAGCUGAUAAAAUUUACUUUUUGCUUUGGCACUUUCUGUCUCCUGGUGACAAUGCUUUCUCUUAAUGCUAUCAAGCAAAGUAUUCACUGUAAGAAGUUAUCUUGACCUAUUGAAGCCAUUAAUAAGAACAAGAAUCAAAUGUUGUCCUUUAUACAAAAGUUGAGGAAAUCUUGAUGAUAAUCAGCUUUUUGGAAAAAGAAACUAAAAAUUACUUGAGAGCCAAAGGAGGUAUGGUGUUCCUGUAAUACUAGUACUU
Molecule: long non-coding RNA, 3575 nt
Filed under: Mus musculus (house mouse)
Lineage: Eukaryota; Metazoa; Chordata; Mammalia; Rodentia; Muridae
Description: long non-coding RNA chr7:96973809-96977384
Source: RNAcentral